Long non-coding RNA from Phyllopteryx taeniolatus (common seadragon), 1513 nucleotides. RefSeq lists it as uncharacterized. NCBI's taxonomy places the organism in Eukaryota, Metazoa, Chordata, Actinopteri, Syngnathiformes, Syngnathidae. The transcript has 4 exons. The record is from RefSeq and is a predicted model, not a curated record.
AGGGGCGGAGCCUCUGGCACACACCUGCUUGACAUCAUGAUUAGUUAGGUUCUCAAGCGGCAGAUAGAUGAAGACGAGCCGCCAGAAUAUUGUUACUCCUUAUUAUUGGGCCACUUCACUUGUUUUUACAUUUAUCACUUUCAUUUUAGGGUCGCGCAGUACGAACGUAGAAGUGGACUGCGAGGACUCGAGAAGAAGCCUUAGUUUGCUGAGUUACAGCCCAAGGAAAUUGCCCAGAUGAACCUACCUUUGCCCCGGUGUCGACGGCGGACUUGAAAUAAGGGUUUAGGAGGAUGAUGUAAGAGGAUGGCGCGUACCUUCUGUAAUUCUGGCAGGGGGAAAGCUUCCAUCAUGACUCAAUAGGCGAGCGGCGACGCCUCAGCACGCCAACACGGGAGGCGACCCACGCACACGCACGCACACACCCAAAAUCCAAAUGCAUCCCCUCUCACGGGACAAGUGAGGUGCUCUUUAAAGUGCUGCCAUGAUGGGUCUGCCCUAUCUAGCCAGUGCAGACCCACAGAUGCCCUCCCCGGGGGGGGGGGCGGGCUGGAGGGGAGCGGGGCAGCGGGCCUGGAGCCUCAUCUGCUCUGCCCAGAAUACAAAUGGGUCACAAACACACACACACACACACGCUGACCAUGAACAAGAAGGGGUUCUGCCAGCUGAAUUCCUCCAUUAGCCAUGAUGGGAAGGGCCAUCUGGUGUCAGUGUGCUGAAGCAAGCGUGUGUGUGACGACGCACACAUUGACACAACGCGUAGACACACACUCACGCACGACUGGAUUUUGUACUCGCUCAAAGAGACCCGAGUCACUAUCAAGAAGUAUUUAUUAGGGCCACAUUGAAAACAGAUUUAUUUGAGAACAAAGUUGUGAAUAAAAGGUGUUUUUGAGGAAUAUAAGUGGCAGGCAUGAUGUCAGGAAAACUCAUAUUAUCAUGCCAAAAUAGAGAGAGGUCUUAUUCUAAUGAGGGCGGAAAAGCUCACUUUUGACAAAAACUAUUUGAUGGAGAAAGCAGUCAUUUUUUCACAAAGAAAAUAAUAAUGCGAGGGGGGGAAAAAAAUUCUGACAAAAAACUUCUAAUAUUAAGAAUACAAAAUUUGGAAUACAUUUUUUACAAGAAUAAAGUGAUUUUAUCUUUGUAGGCAAAGGUAAGAAACGAAUAAGAAAAAUGUCUUUUUUUUCCAGAGGGAAAAGGCUUUUUUUGUAAAGGAUAUACUGUGAUGUGAGAAAAGGCAUAUUUUGUGACAAAAGUCCCAAGAUUAUGAGAAGAAAGUCGAAACCCAACAAGAAAAGAGGGAUUUUAUUUUGAGGAAAAAGUAAGUGAUUUUUUUCCCCCCCAAGAAAAAUGAUGCAGAACUGAUGUUGGAAUUAAAAGUUUUGAUAUUAUGGCCAAAAUUCAUGUCAUAUUUUUUCUAGAAUUAAGCAAUAUUUUUGGCAAGAAAAAUGGUUAUAUUGGGAAAAAAAUAGCCAUAAUCUCACAAGAAGUGCCUCAAGGUAUAUUUGUAUAU